AGCUGUCCGCAUGUGAGGUCUCAGCAUCCUUAUCCUCUCCUCAUUCCGUGGAUCAGCAUUUCAUAUCCUCCCGAGCUUCACGGCGUCAAAAUGCAUCUUCCCCUGCAUCCCAAAACAGAGUGUUAUCUUCCCCGCGUCCGCGAUUCAAGGAUCAGCCCCAAGGUCCUUCAUUCCGUUUUCUUCCAAGCAUCCCACCGUUCAUAAGGAUAAACGUCAUCCCCUGCUUCAGUGGAACAGAAUCUGAAUCUUCCCAUCGCGAGCUUCAC
This 266-nucleotide long non-coding RNA is filed under the name Phoenix dactylifera (date palm). RNAcentral describes it as "long non-coding RNA (PDAC_LNC018084)". The record is from RNAcentral. Lineage: Eukaryota; Viridiplantae; Streptophyta; Magnoliopsida; Arecales; Arecaceae.